UGGAAAGUAUGGUUUAGGUUC
Molecule: non-coding RNA, 21 nt
Filed under: Arabidopsis thaliana (thale cress)
Lineage: Eukaryota; Viridiplantae; Streptophyta; Magnoliopsida; Brassicales; Brassicaceae
Source: RNAcentral